UGGGGAAUCUUGGACAAUGGGCGAAAGCCUGAUCCAGCGACGCCGCGUGGGUGACGAAGGCCUUCGGGUUGUAAAGCCCUUUUCCCGGGGACGAUGAUGACGGUACCCGGGGAACAAGCACCGGCCAACUCCGUGCCAGCAGCCGCGGUAAGACGGGGGGUGCUAGCGUUGUUCGGAAUCACUGGGCGUAAAGGGCGCGCAGGCGGCCGCGCAAGUCGGAUGUGAAAG
RNAcentral lists this ribosomal RNA (228 nucleotides) under uncultured Candidatus Halysiosphaera sp. RNAcentral describes it as "uncultured Halyseosphaera sp. partial 16S ribosomal RNA". It matches the Rfam family "Bacterial small subunit ribosomal RNA", at positions 355 to 600 of the family's 1533-position model. The record is from RNAcentral. Lineage: Bacteria; Pseudomonadati; Pseudomonadota; Alphaproteobacteria; Geminicoccales; Geminicoccaceae.